AAAAGGCCCUACAAGUCAUGAUCAGAUGAACAUGAAUCAGAAUAAGUUCAGUAGGCCCCACAGUAGGCAGACUUUGGGCCCCAAAAACCAACAGAAUGCAGAGCACAACAUGGGUACAACGCCAAAUUAAUUCCAAUUCCCUGAUAUCUGAGCCACCCAACGUGUGUAGCUGCGUGCACGGCAACAUUUUCUCACUCCAAGGUUUUUUGAAAAGUUGGCAGCUCUGUGGUGACACGUUUUAGUACACUUUGCAGUGAGUGUGUUUGCCCUACAAUGCUAAAAAGUUGCAGUCAAAUUUGGCAAAAUUGCUAG
Clupea harengus (Atlantic herring) is the source of this 312-nucleotide long non-coding RNA. The record is from Ensembl. Lineage: Eukaryota; Metazoa; Chordata; Actinopteri; Clupeiformes; Clupeidae.